GGAGGCGUCUUACGAGCGGCGGCAGCGGAGGGGGCGGCGGCGGAGGGUUCACCGGCGGCGGAGGGGGGAGCAACAUGCUGAGGUUUUACACGGAUGAUGCGCCGGGGCUGAAGAUGUCGCCGACGGUCGUGCUGGUGAUGAGCCUGUGCUUUAUCGGAUUUGUUACCGCGCUGCACGUGUUCGGGAAGCUGUACCGCUACCGAUCCGGCGCCCCCGGCGGGGGCUAAGGAUCAAAUCUGAGUUUGUUAUCUGAUUUCUUUUUCGUGCUUCAGUUACUCGCCCAGGAUGAAAGGAAUAGUGGUGGAAUGUUAUUGUGUUUUCUCUUAGUUAUGGUAAGUUAAUCAGUUGCUGAUACCGAU
This 359-nucleotide unclassified non-coding RNA is filed under the name Hevea brasiliensis (rubber tree). Lineage: Eukaryota; Viridiplantae; Streptophyta; Magnoliopsida; Malpighiales; Euphorbiaceae. The record is from RNAcentral.